AUUGAACGCUGGCGGCAGGCCUAACACAUGCAAGUCGAACGGUAACAGGAAGAAGCUUGCUUCUUUGCUGACGAGUGGCGGACGGGUGAGUAAUGUCUGGGAAACUUCCUGAUGGAGGGGGAUAACUACUGGAAACGGUAGCUAAUACCGCAUAACGUCGCAAGACCAAAGAGGGGGACCUUCGGGCCUCUUGCCAUCGGAUGUGCCCAGAUGGGAUUAGCUAGUAGGUGGGGUAACGGCUCACCUAGGCGACGAUCCCUAGCUGGUCUGAGAGGAUGACCAGCCACACUGGAACUGAGACACGGUCCAGACUCCUACGGGAGGCAGCAGUGGGGAAUAUUGGACAAUGGGCGCAAGCCUGAUGCAGCCAUGCCGCGUGUAUGAAGAAGGCCUUCGGGUUGUAAAGUACUUUCAGCGGGGAGGAAGGGAGUAAAGUUAAAACCUUUGCUCAUUGACGUUACCCGCAGAAGAAGCACCGGCUAACUCCGUG
RNAcentral lists this ribosomal RNA (490 nucleotides) under uncultured bacterium. RNAcentral describes it as "partial 16S ribosomal RNA". It matches the Rfam family "Bacterial small subunit ribosomal RNA", at positions 30 to 507 of the family's 1533-position model. The record is from RNAcentral.